UGGGGAAUAUUGGACAAUGGGCGCAAGCCUGAUCCAGCCAUGCCGCGUGAGUGAUGAAGGCCUUAGGGUUGUAAAGCUCUUUCGGCGGGGACGAUAAUGACGGUACCCGCAGAAGAAGCCCCGGCUAACUUCGUGCCAGCAGCCGCGGUAAUACGAAGGGGGCUAGCGUUGCUCGGAAUCACUGGGCGUAAAGGGCGCGUAGGCGGACAUUUAAGUCGGGGGUGAAAGCCCAGGGCUCAACCCUGGAAUUGCCUCCGAUACUGGGUGUCUCGAGACCGGAAGAGGUGAGUGGAACUGCGAGUGUAGAGGUGAAAUUCGUAGAUAUUCGCAAGAACACCAGUGGCGAAGGCGGCUCACUGGUCCGGUUCUGACGCUGAGGCGCGAAAGCGUGGGGAGCAAACAGGAUUAGAUACCCUGGUAGUCCACGCCGUAAACGAUGGAUGCUAGCCGUUGGCAGGCUUGCCUGUCAGUGGCGCAGCUAACGCUUUAAGCAUCCCGCCUGGGGAGUACGGCCGCAAGGUUAAAACUCAAAUGAAUUGACGGGGUCAUAGCUGUUUCCU
This 560-nucleotide ribosomal RNA is filed under the name uncultured bacterium. RNAcentral's name for it is "partial 16S ribosomal RNA". It matches the Rfam family "Bacterial small subunit ribosomal RNA", at positions 355 to 1375 of the family's 1533-position model. The record is from RNAcentral.